RNAcentral lists this ribosomal RNA (253 nucleotides) under uncultured bacterium. Its description in RNAcentral is "partial 16S ribosomal RNA". It matches the Rfam family "Bacterial small subunit ribosomal RNA", at positions 524 to 776 of the family's 1533-position model. The record is from RNAcentral.
UACGUAGGGAGCAAGCGUUGUCCGGAAUCAUUGGGCGUAAAGCGCGUGUAGGCGGCCCGAAAAGUCUGGUGUGAAAUCUUAAGGCUCAACCUUAAGCUGUCACUGGAUACUGUCGGGCUUGAGUCCGGAAGAGGAGAGUGGAAUUCCUGGUGUAGCGGUGGAAUGCGCAGAUAUCAGGAGGAACACCUAUGGCGAAGGCAGCUCUCUGGUACGUGACUGACGCUGAGACGCGAAAGCGUGGGGAGCGAACAGG